RNAcentral lists this unclassified non-coding RNA (315 nucleotides) under plant metagenome. RNAcentral's name for it is "partial contains 5.8S ribosomal RNA, internal transcribed spacer 2, and large subunit ribosomal RNA". The stretch from base 1 to 105 matches the Rfam family "5.8S ribosomal RNA", at positions 50 to 154 of the family's 154-position model. The record is from RNAcentral.
GAACUGCGAUAAGUAAUGUGAAUUGCAGAAUUCAGUGAAUCAUCGAGUCUUUGAACGCACAUUGCGCCCCCUGGCAUUCCGGGGGGCAUGCCUGUCCGAGCGUCAUUGCUGCCCUUCAAGCCCGGCUUGUGUGUUGGGUCGUCGUCCCCUCCGGGGGACGGGCCCGAAAGGCAGCGGCGGCACCGCGUCCGGUCCUCGAGCGUAUGGGGCUUUGUCAUCCGCUCGAUAAGGACCGGCCGGGCGCCAGCCGGCGUCUCCAACCUUUUUUUCUCAGGUUGACCUCGGAUCAGGUAGGGAUACCCGCUGAACUUAAGC